GGGGUUGUGGCUCAGCGGUAGAGCGCUCCCCUCGCGUAUGGGAGGCCCUGGGUUCCAUCCUCAGCACCUCA
RNAcentral lists this transfer RNA (71 nucleotides) under Marmota monax (woodchuck). It matches the Rfam family "tRNA". Rfam says of the family: Transfer RNA (tRNA) molecules are approximately 80 nucleotides in length. Lineage: Eukaryota; Metazoa; Chordata; Mammalia; Rodentia; Sciuridae. The record is from Rfam by way of RNAcentral.